Molecule: non-coding RNA, 68 nt
Filed under: uncultured Flavonifractor sp.
Lineage: Bacteria; Bacillati; Bacillota; Clostridia; Eubacteriales; Oscillospiraceae
Description: Fluoride riboswitch
Rfam family: Fluoride riboswitch aptamer (crcB RNA motif) (bases 7-67)
Source: RNAcentral
GUAUACGGGGAUGAGGUCCUCCCGGGGCGUUUGCCCGAACCGCCGUUUGGCUGAUGACUUCUGCAAAC